RNAcentral lists this unclassified non-coding RNA (191 nucleotides) under fungal sp. RNAcentral describes it as "partial internal transcribed spacer region". Lineage: Eukaryota; Fungi. The record is from RNAcentral.
UCAUGGGUUGCGUAAUUCAAGCUGGCUUGGGCCAAAACCCCGCGAGACAAGCUGCCUUGAAUGGUGGGUUACCGAGUACGGUUUCCGCUGUGACAGUGAAUAAGGUCUGUGGCUCUGGGUUGAAAGCGGUGAUGAUGGCAGCUCAAGGCGUCAAAUUGGGAGAUACCGACAUUGUCGUUGCAGGCGGGAUG